CUCCCAUAUGGUCGACCUGCAGGCGGCCGCGAAUUCACUAGUGAUUAGAGUUUGAUCCUGGCUCAGAUUGAACGCUGGCGGCAUGCUUUACACAUGCAAGUCGAGCGGCAGCGCGGGGGCAACCCUGGCGGCGAGCGGCGAACGGGUGAGGAAUACAUCGGAACGUACCCCGGAGUGGGGGAUAACGCCGCGAAAGCGGCGCUAAUACCGCAUAUGCUCUGUGGAGGAAAGUGGGGGCUUCGCAAGGACCUCACGCUCUGGGCGCGGCCGAUGUCCGAUUAGCUAGUUGGUGGGGUAAUGGCCCACCAAGGCGACGAUCGGUAGCUGGUCUGAGAGGAUGAUCAGCCACACUGGGACUGAGACACGGCCCAGACUCCUACGGGAGGCAGCAGUGGGGAAUUUUGGACAAUGGGGGCAACCCUGAUCCAGCCAUGCCGCGUGCGG
RNAcentral lists this ribosomal RNA (444 nucleotides) under uncultured Pseudomonadota bacterium. RNAcentral describes it as "bacterial SSU rRNA". It matches the Rfam family "Bacterial small subunit ribosomal RNA", at positions 1 to 406 of the family's 1533-position model. The record is from RNAcentral. Lineage: Bacteria; Pseudomonadati; Pseudomonadota.